This 489-nucleotide ribosomal RNA is filed under the name uncultured bacterium. RNAcentral's name for it is "partial 16S ribosomal RNA". It matches the Rfam family "Bacterial small subunit ribosomal RNA", at positions 30 to 507 of the family's 1533-position model. The record is from RNAcentral.
UUGAACGCUGGCGGCAGGCCUAACACAUGCAAGUCGAACGGUAACAGGAAACAGCUUGCUGUUUCGCUGACGAGUGGCGGACGGGUGAGUAAUGUCUGGGAAACUGCCUGAUGGAGGGGGAUAACUACUGGAAACGGUAGCUAAUACCGCAUAACGUCGCAAGACCAAAGAGGGGGACCUUCGGGCCCCUUGCCAUCGGAUGUGCCCAGAUGGGAUUAGCUAGUAGGUGGGGUAACGGCUCACCUAGGCGACGAUCCCUAGCUGGUCUGAGAGGAUGACCAGCCACACUGGAACUGAGACACGGUCCAGACUCCUACGGGAGGCAGCAGUGGGGAAUAUUGCACAAUGGGCGCAAGCCUGAUGCAGCCAUGCCGCGUGUAUGAAGAAGGCCUUCGGGUUGUAAAGUACUUUCAGCGGGGAGGAAGGGAGUAAAGUUAAUACCUUUGCUCAUUGACGUUACCCGCAGAAGAAGCACCGGCUAACUCCGUG